This 1019-nucleotide ribosomal RNA is filed under the name uncultured bacterium. Its description in RNAcentral is "bacterial SSU rRNA". It matches the Rfam family "Bacterial small subunit ribosomal RNA", at positions 339 to 1378 of the family's 1533-position model. The record is from RNAcentral.
CUACGGGAGGCAGCAGUGGAUCUGCACAAUGAGGGAAACCUGAUGCAGCGACGCCGCGUGAGAUGACGGAUCUAGGUCUGUAAACUCUUUUUCAUGGAAAGACUUAGGACGGUACCAUGAGAAUAAGGACCGGCUAACUACGUGCCAGCAGCCGCGGUAAGACGUAGGGUCCAAGCGUUGUCCGGGAUUUACUGGGCGUAAAGAGCGCGUAGGCGGCUCGUUAAGUGUGAAGUGAAAUCUCUAGGCUCAACCCAGAAACUGCUUUACAUACUGGCGAGCUGGAGUGAUGAAGAGGUUUGUGGAAUUCCUGGUGUAACGGUGAAAUGUGUUGAUAUCAGGAGGAACACCCAUGGCGAAGGCAGCAAACUGGUCAUCAACUGACGCUGAGGCGCGAAAGCGUGGGUAGCAAACAGGAUUAGAUACCCUGGUAGUCCACGCCCUAAACGAUGGAUACUAGGCGUAAGAGGUAUCGACCCCUCUUGUGCCGCAGCUAACGCAUUAAGUAUCCCGCCUGGGGAGUACGGCCGCAAGGUUGAAACUCAAAUGAAUUGACGGGGACCCGCACAAGCGGUGGAGCAUGUGGAUUAAUUCGAUACUAACCGAAGAACCUUACCCAGACUUGACAUCGAUCGCAAGCCGGUGAAAGCCGGCCCUCCCUCACAAGGGGACGUGAAGACACUUGUUGCAUGGCUGUCGUCAGCUCGUGCCGUGAGGUGUACGGUUAAGUCCGCCAACGAGCGCAACCCUCGUCCUGUGUUACCAGCAUGAAAGAUGGGAACUCACAGGAGACCGCCGGUGUAAAUCGGCGGAAGGUGGGGAUGACGUCAAGUCAGCAUGGCAGUUACGUCUGGGGCUUCACACAUGCUACAAUGGGCGCAACAGAGGGCAGCAAUACCGCGAGGUGGAGCCAAUCCCAAAAAUACGCCCCCAGUUCAGAUUGCAGUCUGCAACUCGACUGCAUGAAGGCGGAAUCGCUAGUAAACGCAGGUCAGCUAUACCGCGGUGAAUACGUUCCCGGG